AGAGUUUGAUCAUGGCUCAGGACGAACGCUGGCGGCGUGCCUAAUGCAUGCAAGUCGCACGCGCCACCUUCGGGUGGUGAGUGGCGCACGGCUGAGGAUCACGUGGGAACCUGCCUCCUUGUGGGGGACAACACGCCGAAAGGCGUGCUAAUCCCGCAUACGCUCGCGCAAGCGAGGAAAGCGGCAACGCGCAGGGAGAGUGGCCCGCGGCCCAUCAGGUCGUAGGUGGGGUAAUGGCCUACCUAGCCGAUGACGGGUAGCUGGUCUGUGAGGACAGACAGCCAGACUGGGACUGAGACACGGCCCAGACUCCUACGGGAGGCAGCAGCAAGGAAUUUUCGUCAAUGGGCGCAAGCCUGAACGAGCAACGCCGCGUGGAGGAUGACGGCCUUCGGGUUGUAAACUCCUUUUGUGGGGGACGAUCGUGACGGUACCCCGCGAAUAAGGCUCGGCUAACUCUGUGCCAGCAGCCGCGGUAAUACAGAGGAGCCAAGCGUUGUCCGGAUUGACUGGGCGUAAAGCGCACGCAGGCGGGUGCGCGCGUGGGGUGUGAAAUCUGGCCGCUUAACGGCCAGGCGCCAUCCCAUACGGCGCGCCUGGAGCCUUGCAGAGGGCGGUGGAAUUGCCGGUGUAGUGGUGAAAUGCGUAGAGAUCGGCAGGAACACCCAGGGGGAAACCAGCCGCCUGGGCAAGCGCUGAC
RNAcentral lists this ribosomal RNA (700 nucleotides) under uncultured bacterium. RNAcentral describes it as "bacterial SSU rRNA". It matches the Rfam family "Bacterial small subunit ribosomal RNA", at positions 8 to 744 of the family's 1533-position model. The record is from RNAcentral.